GGUCGCCGUCACCUAGAGGUUGAAGGAGAGUGGCGAGGAAGUUAUGGGAGAUCGACCAAGAUCGAAGGAGGAUUCGACCGGGAGUAUCGCAAGGUGAAGCGACGGCGAUUGCGGCAUUGGAUUAGAGGGGGGUUCGAGGCCGACGGCCUUAGAUCGAGGGAGAAGCCUUCUCCCCCAUGCGAAUCGGCUGGCGGUAGAGUCAAAGGCGAGGGGAAGAAGCGGAUUCCAAGAUUCAUGGAAAGCUCGACGGAUUGAAUCGGGUCACCGGCGACGACCUCUGUAAUCACAGAAGCAGAGGUAAGGGAAGAGUGAUCACUUAGCGAAUUAUGGACGAUAAGUGACCAGUUUGCAAUACCUGUAAAGUUAGAGGUGCUGAACUGAAUCCAAUACCUGUAAAGUUAGAGGUUCUGGACAAAACUGUACUUCCUGGAAAGUAAGAUGACUGGGUUGUAAUUAUCUGUUUUCUAGGGAUGGAAUCUGCAAGGAUCAGAAUCCGAGGACUGAACUGGACAUUUAUGAGCAGCUGGGUAGAAAAAUGACAGAAUCGCCCCUGGAAGUUUCAGCAAGUUGCAAAGAAGUAAACGGAGCAUAACUCGGUCGUUUGACCUCAGAACGACGCACCGUCCGAGGCUGUGGUUUCGUGGCAACAAGAGGAAUCAUCUCAGAGAUAUUUCUGAGAUAUCAGCUCGCCAAUGAGG
Molecule: long non-coding RNA, 698 nt
Filed under: Linum usitatissimum (flax)
Lineage: Eukaryota; Viridiplantae; Streptophyta; Magnoliopsida; Malpighiales; Linaceae
Description: long non-coding RNA (LUSI_LNC003432)
Source: RNAcentral